UACGAGGGGGGCAAGCGUCGUUCGGAAUUAUUGGGCGUAAAGGGUGCGUAGGCGGUGCGGUAAGUCUGUUGUGAAAUCUCCGGGCUCAACUCGGAGUCUGCAUCAGAAACUGCCGUGCUGGAGUGUGGGAGAGGUGAGUGGAAUUCCCGGUGUAGCGGUGAAAUGCGUAGAGAUCGGGAGGAACACCUGCGGCGAAAGCGGCUCACUGGACCAUAACUGACGCUGAUGCACGAAAGCUAGGGGAGCAAACAGG
RNAcentral lists this ribosomal RNA (253 nucleotides) under uncultured bacterium. Its description in RNAcentral is "partial 16S ribosomal RNA". It matches the Rfam family "Bacterial small subunit ribosomal RNA", at positions 524 to 776 of the family's 1533-position model. The record is from RNAcentral.